This is a long non-coding RNA of Carassius carassius (crucian carp), 977 nucleotides long. RefSeq lists it as uncharacterized. Lineage: Eukaryota; Metazoa; Chordata; Actinopteri; Cypriniformes; Cyprinidae. The record is from RefSeq and is a predicted model, not a curated record. The transcript has 3 exons.
GGUUGGGUGGAUGUAACACCAAAAUUUAUUUAAAUUUUAUUUUUUACAUUUUUAGUACAGCUAUAUAUUGGCUACUUGGAAAUAAAAAAUGCAUAUAAAUAAUAGAAAAAGUAAAACAACGAACAGAUUGUUUAGUCUGAUGCUUAAUCAUAUUCACGAUAGAAUUAUCAGAAUAUAAAAUAUUACAAUAAAAGUAUUCUAAAAAUGGCAUUUAAAAAGCAGAAAUAAGGUAGAAAUAAAUGAUAAAUACAAAAAAAAAAUAACAGAAAAUGUUGAAAUCUGUUCGUUUGAAAAAAAAAAGAACAACUGACAAAAGAAAUACUCAUAAAUACAAGUACACUUAUCAACAUCAUAUUACAAGUAAAAGGUUUGCCGAUUUAAGUAUUUUGGAUAAACACGGCAAGGCAGACGGACGGGGAUUUGUAUAAUGGGCGUGGCCUGUUUCGUGGGCGUGUCAUUUCCGCUUAUCCCACACUGAUGUCCCUCAUCUCUCCUGCUCUGUGAAUCCACAACAUAAAUAUCACCGCUAUUUUACAGCCUUUACUCAAGCAAAAGAGUAAUUAGAAUACAACGCUUUCAAAAUGCUCUUAAAUUUGGGAAACGUCAUGAAAAUCCUCCGAGGACAGCAAACUUUCCAUGUUUAAAGCCCCAGUCCUCCGUAUCCCUGAUGCUUCGGAAAAGAGGACACAACUGAAGUCCAACGGACGAGAAGGAGAGACUAAAUUCAUAAGACUGAACAUAUUUGCAACGAAUUUACUGCAGGUGUAGUGUUUAUAACCCAUAAAGGCUGCAGACAGCGUCAUUCAUCGCAUCAUCGAAGAGGAACAAUUGGUCACAUGGAGAAUGGAGACUGGACACACAUGAUGGUGGACAUUACCCUAAAUGUUGGUGGAAAUUUGUACACCACGUUGCUUUCCACCCUCCAGCGUUAUCCAGACUCUAUGUUGGGCGCCAUGUUUCGUGGUGACUUUCCCACU